RNAcentral lists this ribosomal RNA (143 nucleotides) under uncultured eukaryote. Its description in RNAcentral is "partial 18S ribosomal RNA". It matches the Rfam family "Eukaryotic small subunit ribosomal RNA", at positions 1299 to 1458 of the family's 1831-position model. The record is from RNAcentral.
UGGUGGGUUGCCUUGUCAGGUUGAUUCCGGUAACGAACGAGACCUCAGCCUGCUAAAUAGUCGCGCGCACAUUUUUGUGCGUCCUUGUCGGCUUCUUAGAGGGACUAUUGGCGUUUAGUCAAUGGAAGUGUGAGGCAAUAACA